CUGCUGCCCUGAUCCAUGAUGAAGGACAUAUGUUAGCUCUGGGUUCCCAGGUGGACCAAGAUUUAAAGGACUUGGAAAAUCAAAUAUCCUUCUUGGAGAACUCCCUAAACUCGUUGGCAGAGAUGAUCCUGCAGAACCAUUGAGGCCUAGACUUGCUCUACCUUAAACAGGGAGAGGUAUUUCAAAUCUAGAAGAGCACUGUGAAAAUUUUGACGAUAUGAAGUUCAUUAGCAUUCAAAUGAUAUUUACUUUUUACGAGGAAAGAAUCGUCAACUGGUAUCCAGAACUGGACUCUAACCUGUGAAUGGCCAAAGCCGAACAAACCAGGCCAGAGACAAGAGUAAGGAAUCAAAUGGCAGUUUAAUUUCAAAGUAAGAGAAAUGGCUUGGAAGUAAGGACUGCACAGGGAGCUGUUGCCCUGACAAUGAGAAAUAACAGCAACAGUGACAAGUUUGAUUCACAGCAGGGGCUUCAUGACCAGAAUACAAUUUGGGGAUUUUUCUGUGGCCGAGAUCAUCCAGAGUGGCAAGGAACUGGAACCUGAGUGGAUAUCCAUCAGUUGGGAAAUGACUAAAUAAGUUAUGAUAGAUGAAUGUAAUGGAAUAUUACUGUUCUAAGAAAUGAUCAGGUGAUGAAAAGAGUUAUCUAAACCCAGAGGGAGGGCUGUGGAUCACCGAGUUUUCACUCUUUUUGUUGUUGUUUGCUUGCAUUUUGUUUUCUUUCUCAUUUUUUUUCCUUUUUGAUCUGAUUUUUCUUGUGCAGUAAGAUAAUUUUAUAAAUAUAUAUAUAUAUAUAUACAUAUUGGAUUUAACAUAUAUUUUUAACAUGUUUAACAUAUAUUAGAUUACUUGCCAUCUGGAGUGGGAGAAGGGAGGGGAAAUUUGGAACACAAGAUUUUGCAAAAGUCAAUGUUGAAAAAUUAUCUGUGCCACCUAGCUGCUCCCCAUGCAUGUUUUGAAAAUAUAUAUAUAUUUUUUGGGGGGAGGGAAGCUUUAGGGGCAGCUGUCAGUGGAUAGAGCACCAGUCCUGAAGUCAGGAGGACCUGAGUUCAAAUCCGGCCUGAGACACUUAACCCUUCCUAGCUGUGUGACCCUGGACAAGUCUCAGCAAAAAAAAAAAAAAAAAAAAAAAAAAGCUUUAAUUAUAAAAAACAAAAAACAUCAGCACGAUGAUUUCAGAAGGGCCUGGUGAGACUUAUGUGAAGUGAGUAGAACCCAAGAGAACACUGUACACAGCAACAUCAAGAUUAUAUGAUGAUCUAUUCUGAUGGACUUGGCUCUUUUUUUUUUUUUUUAAGUUCCAGAAACACUUUAUUAAAAAUGAAGCUGUAAAUGCAUAACAAAAUAACAUAGGUAAUAAAUGUAACAAAAAUAAAAAGACUAGUGUUCAUACAAAAUAAUAACAUAGUAAAAGGCCAAAUGCUUAUCACUGAACAAAAAUGUGUAAACUCUUUUUAAAAAAUCUUGUAAGACAAUUCUAAAGACUAAUAUUUUUCUAAAUAACUGCUUACCUCCACUUUCAUAUGUGUGGGAAAAGGUGAAGAACUUACAGCACAUAUUGAUCAGAGACUGUUAGUUAAAGUAGAUCAAGCCUAUAGGUCUCAGUUUUGGCUUCUCUGGAGUCACGUGAUUUUAGAUGAGGCCUGGACUACAUUCCAUUGUCCAAAGAAGGGAUUAAAAUAUAUAUGUGGCCAAAGAAACUGUAUAUCACCUUGUCUACUACAUUCCACUGACCAACUAAGGGAACAGUAGACUUAUGUGACCAAUCACAGCAUAUAGAGGGCAGGAUUUUGGAGGUUCUUUGUCUGAAAUGUAUAAAAGCUGUAAGCAUUUUCAAGAAUCUGGCCCUAUCCUGCUGUGAAAUUUGGCUCAUAAACCAGGGUCCGCUUCUUGAGAUUCUAAUAAAUAAUUCUGCUUUCUAUGAGUGAUCUCUGAGUAGUCAAUUUGGGUAGGUUUUUUUUGUCCCAAACACAUAUAGUUAAAUUCAGUACCCAAACAUUGAAGAAAUGAUGGUAGUUAUUUUGCUGAAUUUUUUUUUUUAUGUGGACUAACCCUGUUUCAACUUUUACUUAUUCUUUUGAACUUUUUCUAUUCUUCCUUUCAUUUUUUCUAUAAUCAUUUUGACACUUCCUUUGAUAGAGUGGAGAAUUUGGCUUUAUAUGAGUAUUCUAUUUUUAGAUUUAAAGAAAAAAAAAAGAUACAUUAUACAAUACAUAUGUAAAUCUUUUCAACAACGAGGUGAUUCAGGCUAGCUUCAAUGGUCUUGUGAAGGGAGAGAGCCAUCUGCAUUCAGAGAGAGAAUUGUGGGGCCCGAGUGUGGAUCACAAUAUAGCAUUUUCACUCUUUUUGUUGUUUACUUGCAUUUUGUUUUCUUUCUCAUUUUUUUCUUUUUUGUUCUGUUUCUUGUGCAGCAUGAUAAUUGUGGAAAUAUGUACAGAAGAAUUACACGU
RNAcentral lists this long non-coding RNA (2449 nucleotides) under Sarcophilus harrisii (Tasmanian devil). RNAcentral's name for it is "lncRNA (ENSSHAG00000023646.1)". Lineage: Eukaryota; Metazoa; Chordata; Mammalia; Dasyuromorphia; Dasyuridae. The record is from RNAcentral.